GUUUACUUAAUAGCUAGAGAGGUUAGCACCCCCUUUGACAAGGAUGGAAGAGUCCCUCAGGCCUGACAAAUAAAAUUAAAAAAUAGCUGUAAAACCAGUAAAGAUUGUACUAAAUGCUGUCUUGU
Molecule: small nuclear RNA, 125 nt
Organism: Gorilla gorilla gorilla (western lowland gorilla)
Lineage: Eukaryota; Metazoa; Chordata; Mammalia; Primates; Hominidae
Source: Ensembl